This 430-nucleotide ribosomal RNA is filed under the name uncultured bacterium. Its description in RNAcentral is "partial 16S ribosomal RNA". It matches the Rfam family "Bacterial small subunit ribosomal RNA", at positions 31 to 507 of the family's 1533-position model. The record is from RNAcentral.
GAACGCUGGCGGCAUGCCUGCCACAUGCAAGUCGAACGAGACCUUCGGGUCUAGUGGCGCACGGGUGCGUAACGCGUGGGAACCUGCCCUUAGGUUCGGAAUAACUCCCCGAAAGGGGUGCUAAUACCGGAUAAUGUCUUCGGACCAAAGAUUUAUCGCCUUUGGAUGGGCCCGCGUUGGAUUAGCUAGUUGGUAGGGUAAAAGCCUACCAAGGCGACGAUCCAUAGCUGGUCUGAGAGGAUGAUCAGCCACACUGGGACUGAGACACGGCCCAGACUCCUACGGGAGGCAGCAGUGGGGAAUAUUGGACAAUGGGCGAAAGCCUGAUCCAGCAAUGCCGCGUGAGUGAUGAAGGCCUUAGGGUUGUAAAGCUCUUUUACCCGGGAUGAUAAUGACAGUACCGGGAGAAUAAGCGCCGGCUAACUCCGUG